This 497-nucleotide ribosomal RNA is filed under the name uncultured bacterium. Its description in RNAcentral is "partial 16S ribosomal RNA". It matches the Rfam family "Bacterial small subunit ribosomal RNA", at positions 28 to 507 of the family's 1533-position model. The record is from RNAcentral.
GAUGAACGCUGGCGGCGUGCCUAAUACAUGCAAGUCGAGCGAACAGACGAGGAGCUUGCUCCUCUGACGUUAGCGGCGGACGGGUGAGUAACACGUGGAUAACCUACCUAUAAGACUGGGAUAACUUCGGGAAACCGGAGCUAAUACCGGAUAAUAUAUUGAACCGCAUGGUUCAAUAGUGAAAGACGGAUUUGCUGUCACUUAUAGAUGGAUCCGCGCCGCAUUAGCUAGUUGGUAAGGAAACGCCUUACCAAGGCAACGAUGCGUAGCCGACCUGAGAGGGUGAUCGCCCACACUGGAACUGGACCACGGCCCAGCCUCCUACGGGAGGAAGCGUUAGGGAAUCUUCCGCAAUGGGCGAACGCCUACCGGGGCACGCCGGCGUGAGUGAGGAAGGUCUCCGAACCUAAAAACUCUGUUAUUAGGGAGGACCAAAUGUGUAAGUAACUGUGCACGCUUUGACGGUACCUAACCAGAAAGCCACGGCUAACUACGUG